This 503-nucleotide ribosomal RNA is filed under the name Veillonella parvula. RNAcentral's name for it is "bacterial SSU rRNA". It matches the Rfam family "Bacterial small subunit ribosomal RNA", at positions 28 to 491 of the family's 1533-position model. The record is from RNAcentral. Lineage: Bacteria; Bacillati; Bacillota; Negativicutes; Veillonellales; Veillonellaceae.
GACGAACGCUGGCGGCGUGCUUAACACAUGCAAGUCGAACGAAGAGCGAUGGAAGCUUGCUUCUAUCAAUCUUAGUGGCGAACGGGUGAGUAACGCGUAAUCAACCUGCCCUUCAGAGGGGGACAACAGUUGGAAACGACUGCUAAUACCGCAUACGAUCUAACCUCGGCAUCGAGGAUAGAUGAAAGGUGGCCUCUACAUGUAAGCUAUCACUGAAGGAGGGGAUUGCGUCUGAUUAGCUAGUUGGAGGGGUAACGGCCCACCAAGGCGAUGAUCAGUAGCCGGUCUGAGAGGAUGAACGGCCACAUUGGGACUGAGACACGGCCCAGACUCCUACGGGAGGCAGCAGUGGGGAAUCUUCCGCAAUGGACGAAAGUCUGACGGAGCGACGCCGCGUGAGUGAUGACGGCCUUCGGGUUGUAAAGCUCUGUUAAUCGGGACGAAAGGCCUUCUUUGCGAAUAAGUGAAGAAAGGAAUUGAACGGUAACCCGGAAUAAAAAAGC